This 492-nucleotide ribosomal RNA is filed under the name uncultured bacterium. Its description in RNAcentral is "partial 16S ribosomal RNA". It matches the Rfam family "Bacterial small subunit ribosomal RNA", at positions 29 to 507 of the family's 1533-position model. The record is from RNAcentral.
AGUGAACGCUGGCGGUAGGCCUAAUACAUGCAAGUCGAACGGCAGCACAGUAAGAGCUUGCUCUUACGGGUGGCGAGUGGCGGACGGGUGAGGAAUACAUCGGAAUCUACUUUUUCGCGGGGGAUAACGUAGGGAAACUUACGCUAAUACCGCAUACGACCUACGGGUGAAAGCAGGGGAUCUUCGGACCUUGCGCGAUUGAAUGAGCCGAUGUCGGAUUAGCUAGUUGGCGGGGUAAAGGCCCACCAAGGCGACGAUCCGUAGCUGGUCUGAGAGGAUGAUCAGCCACACUGGAACUGAGACACGGUCCAGACUCCUACGGGAGGCAGCAGUGGGGAAUAUUGGACAAUGGGCGCAAGCCUGAUCCAGCCAUACCGCGUGGGUGAAGAAGGCCUUCGGGUUGUAAAGCCCUUUUGUUGGGAAAGAAAAGCAGCAGGUUAAUACCCCGCUGUUCUGACGGUACCCAAAGAAUAAGCACCGGCUAACUUCGUG